GAGUUUGAUCUUGGCUCAGAUUGAACGCUGGCGGCAGGCCUAACACAUGCAAGUCGAGCGGAUGACGGGAGCUUGCUCCUUGAUUCAGCGGCGGACGGGUGAGUAAUGCCUAGGAAUCUGCCUGGUAGUGGGGGACAACGUUUCGAAAGGAACGCUAAUACCGCAUACGUCCUACGGGAGAAAGCAGGGGACCUUCGGGCCUUGCGCUAUCAGAUGAGCCUAGGUCGGAUUAGCUAGUUGGUGGGGUAAUGGCUCACCAAGGCGACGAUCCGUAACUGGUCUGAGAGGAUGAUCAGUCACACUGGAACUGAGACACGGUCCAGACUCCUACGGGAGGCAGCAGUGGGGAAUAUUGGACAAUGGGCGAAAGCCUGAUCCAGCCAUGCCGCGUGUGUGAAGAAGGUCUUCGGAUUGUAAAGCACUUUAAGUUGGGAGGAAGGGCAGUAAGUUAAUACCUUGCUGUUUUGACGUUACCGACAGAAUAAGCACCGGCUAACUCUGUGCCAGCAG
Molecule: ribosomal RNA, 510 nt
Filed under: bacterium enrichment culture clone ALO1_GLFRUDD03FR8QT
Lineage: Bacteria
Also listed under: 1 other name
Description: bacterial SSU rRNA
Rfam family: Bacterial small subunit ribosomal RNA
Source: RNAcentral